UUCUUGUCCAUCCGUCCAAAGCUAACAAGGAAUCCGUCAGGUCCGAGUGCUUGGUCUUCCUGCUUGUUCCAUCCGUCGCCGUAACUUACUACGGGGUAGGCCGGCUCACCGUGCUUAGGGACAUCAAGGCCUACACAAGAGACUCGCAGUUGCCCAAUCAAAUGGCAGAACCCAAACAUGAUGCCAGCGCAGGUGGCAGACCAGGCCAUGAUUGACACCAGACCAAGAAUGUUCCAGCCCCAAAGACGGAACGAGAGUGUGCUCCAGCGGUAGAGAACUCCAGUUUUAUGAUUGAAGAGUGGAGCGGCCAGCAGCCCCCAUGUACCGCCUCCCAUGUGCACUACAAGGAAAGCCAUACCAUGCUUCUUUAUUAUGUUGACACCACAUACUACUGAUGAUAUUGACACCAGAUACUACUGAUGAUGUUGA
Long non-coding RNA from Nematostella vectensis (starlet sea anemone), 429 nucleotides. RefSeq lists it as uncharacterized. The record is from RefSeq and is a predicted model, not a curated record. NCBI's taxonomy places the organism in Eukaryota, Metazoa, Cnidaria, Anthozoa, Actiniaria, Edwardsiidae. The transcript has 2 exons.